AUUGAACGCUGGCGGCAUGCCUUACACAUGCAAGUCGAACGGCAGCACGGGUGCUUGCACCUGGUGGCGAGUGGCGAACGGGUGAGUAAUACAUCGGAACGUACCUUAUCGUGGGGGAUAACGCAGCGAAAGCUGUGCUAAUACCGCAUACGCCCUGAGGGGGAAAGCGGGGGAUCGCAAGACCUCGCGCGAUUAGAGCGGCCGAUGCCUGAUUAGCUAGUUGGUGGGGUAAAAGCCCACCAAGGCGACGAUGAGUAGCUGGUCUGAGAGGACGAUAAGCCACACUGGGACUGAGACACGGCCCAGACUCCUACGGGAGGCAGCAGUGGGGAAUUUUGGACAAUGGGGGCAACCCUGAUCCAGCAAUGCCGCGUGAGUGAAGAAGGCCUUCGGGUUGUAAAGCUCUUUUGUCAGGGAAGAAACACCGGCUCUAACACAGUCCGGGAAUGACGGUACCUGAAGAAUAAGCACCGGCUAACUACGUGCCAGCAGCCGCCGCGG
RNAcentral lists this ribosomal RNA (501 nucleotides) under uncultured bacterium. Its description in RNAcentral is "partial 16S ribosomal RNA". It matches the Rfam family "Bacterial small subunit ribosomal RNA", at positions 29 to 523 of the family's 1533-position model. The record is from RNAcentral.